AUUUUUAGCUCAUCAGCUAUCAUUAGUGUUAGUGUAUUUUAUGUGUGGUCCAAGACAAUUUUUCUUCUUCCAGCGUGGCCCAGGGAAGACAAAAGAUGAGACACCCCUGCUUUGAAACAACCUCAUGAGGUGUGAGGUCCAGACAGGGGACUUCAUCUCUCUGAGCUGCCAUCUUCUCUCUAUAAAGUUAAGUCAACCAUAGAAUGCCCCUCCCAGAGGUGUGGGGAGGAUUCGAUGAGACAAUCCACAGGGCUGGCUAUCACGACUUCAUCCCCCUUUAUUUUAUGUGACACCUCUCUAAGCCUCAGUUUCCCCAUCUGUUAAAUGUGGUGGACGACCUCUACUCUGCCUCCCCCCCAGGGCUGGCAUGAGUUUCCACAGGGAGGAGGCUGAGAGGCCCCCUUUGUGGGAGUGGCAGCAUUUGGUUACUGCAGUUCAUGUUUCCAGCAGGAGCCUCAAAGUGUCUAAACACAGACUAUUUUUAGCACCAGAAUGAGGCUCUGGUGUUGAGCUGCCAACUUGAAGAUGGGUGGGGAAGAGCUGCCUGCAGGGGAAAGAAAAACAGAGGCAUAGCCUGCCCUGUGGUUCCUUACCUCCCCUGGGAGUAAAAUUAUGCCUCCCCCUUCCAGGUUCUAUUGGCUAGGGUAGGCCAGAAUGGAAGCCUGUGAGGCUGGGUAGGGGGCUGACUCCCUCUCUGUAAUCCCCAGCACCUGACUUGGGGGGCAGAGGCAGUUCGGAGGGACUGGGCAGGCCCAGCGACCAACUGACCCCCAGACCACCCAAGCUUCACCGAGAAAUAGCUAUUGAGAAAUCAGGUUCAUGAAGGUUUGAUUUCUUAAGAGUUCUGGGUAGGAGACCCAUCUGGGAAGUUUCCAAGAAACUGGGGAGCCCAGGUAAAAUUUCAGUCUUGUUCUAAUAAUAAAAAUAUCAGAAGUCACUGGUGUUUGUUGAGCGCAUACUAUAUGCCAGUCAUCUUAUUCCCAUUGUGCCUUUUAAUCCCCACUAUCAUUCUUUGAGGUGGUCAUUAACUUCUUUGAACAUCAGUUUCCCCAUCUAUAGAGUGAUGAUGUAAUAUAAUUUAUCUCUUAGGGUUAGCGUGAGAACUAAAUAAGUCAAUAUAUACAAAUAUAUCAUAUCUAUAUGUAUUAGGUGCAAAUGCUACAUCUUAUAAUAAUUUCUGGAGAAUACAUGUGGUUUUGCCUGUUCAGUGCCCCUUCAUUCUGAUACAAGGACUCUAUUUUCCUUCACGGAAUUUCUCCCUCAUUAAUUCUCAGCUCAUGUGGCUUGGAUAGAAUGGAUUCCUCUUGCCAGUUGCUGCAGACAUUCCUAUACCUCCCUCCUGAUGCAUGUAUAUAAUAAUUAAUGUAGAGUGCAUGUAUACCUAGGAGUGAAAGCGCUAGUUUUUGUCUGUUUGUUUUUGUUUUUGUAUGAGCAUCUUAUGAUUAUCCUAAAAGAUGCCAGUUUUUUUCCAAGGUUGCUGUAGUCACAACUUCCCCAGUACAGUUUGAGCAUUCCUGCUGCUCCAAAUCCACACCAACACUUAAUGUUGUCAGUCCUUUCCUUUUUGGUCAGUUUGGUAGAUCUGUAACAGAUGCCAUAUGUGCCCCACCCACAGAGUUAAAUUCUGAAUGUUCAUCUGGUUGUCUGAGGGGUUUCUCCAGCACCUUGAAUGCUUUUUGUGCUUGUGUGGUUGGCAGGCAAGACAUGCUAGAAUAUUAACAUUUGGAAGCAGCUGCAAAUAUGACUGAUGGGAGUUGGUGUAUAAAUGCCCCAGCUCCCUUGCUCCUCAGCUGGAAUAACUCUGCAGUGUGUAUUUCUCCAGUGGGACUUAGCCUCAACCACCCUCUGUAACAGAUGACUCAAUAAUACACCCUUUAUUGAUUUCUUCCCUUCCCUGUCUCACUUCCCCGCUCAGGGAAGGACAGGAGUAAGUAUACUCUUUAUUUCCUAAAUGAACUACUUAUCAGUGGUAUUCAUUUCUUGGAAUAGUUGAUUCCUUAGAAUAGGAAUCAAUAUGGUUGAUUCAUAUCAUAUCAAUGGUUUUUCAACCUUUUCCUUAUCAUAGACAUGUAAAAUAUUUCCAGUCUUCCCUCUUUUAUAAAUAAGUAACGCUAUGAUAAACAUCCUGUAUGUAAAUCUUUAUACAGAUCCCCGGAAAGCAAUAUAGGACCUUUCAACAAUGAUGAGACAUCGGCAUAUUAUACCCACUUUACAGAUGAGAAAGCUAAAGUUCACAGAGAUUAAGUAACUUGCCCAGACACACAAAAAGUGGAGCAUGAAUUCAAGUGCAAAACUGAGCCUCAGUGUCAUGAUGCCAUGGCGGACACUAUGCAGACCAGCAAGGCAGCUAUUCCCUGUCUUAACCACUAAUCCCUCAGUUGAAUCCAAGCCUUGAUGAAAGGAACCUUUCUGAGCCUGAAGAUAUGGAUGGCCAUGCCUCGAACACUUCUCAGGUAGAUAACCCCCAAUUCCUUUAAUCAAAGUUCUUUCUCACCCUUCUUGGUGGUGGACCAGCCAUUUGGCAAGUGAAAGACUUAAUGAAACAGCUUGAGAAGAAAUGCCAUUAUAAAUGCCAAAUCCUUUCCCUCAUUGUCUUAGGAAUCCAGAAUUUUAGUAACCCAGCUAACCCUAGGGAAGGCUUUUGCACCCCGUACAGUGGGUGGACCCUCUCUGGGACACACCCUUCCAUUCAUUGGUGUGCUGUAGUUUAAUGAUUCCAUCGUGCUCAUGAUGGAUAUAUUGUGGUUCUGCAGAUCUUUGAUGCAACAAUUCUGCAGAAUCUUUGACACAACAAUCCCACUUUUUUGACCAGGAAGCAUGUACACACCAGGAAAGCUUCACCAGGUUCCUAGGCACACCCGUAUGUUGCCCCCUACACUUGCUCACCCCACCUCCAGAAAGAAUCCCCUGGGUCCCCACACUUCCCUCUGUUCCCAGGAAGGAAACUCACUCAGCACUACCCUACGCUCACAGCCUGCCAACCAUGUCCAUUUUCAUUUAUCUUCCCCAAAACUCAAGAAAAUAAAUGAGAAGGCAAAGUGCCAUUAGCUUAAUGGCCUUUAACACCCAGCCAUCUGCCAUGAUGUAAUUAAAUAAAAAAAUCAGAGGGAGCAUAUGGUGUCCGUUAUAAAUAAAUAUUAAAAUUUUGUUUAUCUGGGUAAUGACUCUAGUGCCUCUUGCUCCAUGGGCAAUCUUUACAGCCAUCUUCGCUUGUUGCAGGGUCAGGGUGGGCCACUAUGGACAGGAAUGGCCACGGAGAGGAAACGUGGAAAGGGGUCAGGGCCAGAGUCACACACUCCUGCAUCUGAACCUGCCUCAGGGCGGUGGUGGCUGUGUGAUCUUCAGCAAGGGGCCUCUCUGUGACUCAGUUUUCUCACCUGCAAAAUAGAGCCAAUCCACCCUGCCUCAUUGGAAAGCAAGUGACAGAGCUACAAGAAAGCCUGGAGAUCCAACACCUAGCGAAACAGCCUUCCUUUACAUAAGGGGAAACUGAGGCUUGGAGAAACUUGAAUGAAAUAACCUCUGUCCAUAUAAAAUGUCUCGCAUAGACCUGGACCCAAGUAAGUGCUCAAUACUUUUUAGCUAUUACCAAGAUUAUGAUUAUGAUACCAUAGAAUCCUAGAGUUCAAAGGGCCCUUAGACACCAGCUAGUUCAAGUCUGAUGUUUUACAGAUGAGGAACCCGGGGGCUCAGAGAGGCUGGAGGAGUGGUCCAGAGUCACACAGCCAGGCCAGGGCUGAGCUGGUUCCUGCCCUGCAGGUUUCUUCCCAGAGCACACGCUGCUCCCUGGCAGCCCCCAUUGCUCCCAGCCGCAAACACGAGCAAAUUGCCAUUUGCUGGUUCCACACUGACCACGGUGGAUUGAACUCUAAUUUAGGAACGGUGACAGCACCUAUUAGCAACCCUUCCCCAAAGAGGAACUUUCCACCAGGAGUGAAAAAUAACUGCCAUCCCCACCCCCAAAUCACCCAAGCCCAAUCUUUCUGUCCAAGGCAGUGUGUGUGUGUUUGGGGGGUGGUGGUGGAGAGGUGGUCUCUGUGCUCCCCAGCCCACCUCUACAGGUUCAAAUUCUCUUCCCCUGUCCCGGAGAACCUUGUGCCCUUGGAGGGGUUGCCAGCACCUACUGCCAGCUCUGAGCAGGACUGAGAGGUGGGCUCACAGCCAUCAAAGCAGGAGGGAGGACUGUUCAUAACCUCCAGCUUGCUUUUCUCCUUUAAAUACUGAAGCCCUCAAAGUCAUCUCUGGAGAAAUGCACAGACCUCUCUCCUGGGCAUAUCCUUAACCUUGGCAAAAUGAACUUCUAAACUGAUUGAGACCUGUCUCAGAUAGUUUUUGGUUUAGUUUCAAUGUUGGUGGGCUCUCCAAUUGUGAAAUUUUUUUCUAAGCUCCUAAGAUCUCAUCUCCCAUGUCAAAGUUGAAAUUCUCUCCGGGAGACAGUCAUGCCUCGCUGCCUUCCAGUGACCAGGAUGAAAGAUGCACCCAUGAAUUAUAUAUUUCAAGUCAUCUCUAAAUUGCCUGGCAAUUACAGAACAGCAAGGUCAGCUGCCGGGAGCAAGAAUCUCCCUUUUGGCAGAGAAAAACAGAUGGAUGGAAACACAACGAUAUACAGAAAGAUGUUACCUCUUGGAGGGGGGGUGUUUUUCAGAUGCUGGUCACCAUAGAUGCUGGUCACCACCAUGCCCUUUCAUAAGUGUCCUUACAAAAGGAGGAAAUCAGGACAGAUACAUCCAGAGGGAAGACGCUAUGAAGACACAGAGAAGAGGGCCAUCUAUGCCAAGGAGAGGGGUAGGAAGCAAAUUCUUCCCACACACACCUCGGAGGAACCAACCCUGCUGACACCUUAAUUUUGGACUUCCAGCUUCCAGAACUGUGAGAUAAUAAAUUUUAGUUGUUUAAGCUACUCAGCAUGUGGUGUUUUGUUACAGCAACCCUAGCAAACUGAUACACCAGUGCUCUGCAUAGGACCUCAACAUUUCCUUUUCCUUUUUUUUUAAUGAGAGAGAAUUCAUAUGUGGCAUGGUAAAAACAAGUGCGCAGGAAUUUCACAUAUGUACACACCCAGGUGACCCACCCAGAUCAAGACUCUGAACAUUCCCCUGGCUCCUAGAGGCUCUCCACUGUCCCCUCUCAGCGAAUCACCCUCCCCAGGGGCCAUCACUUUUCUAACUUCUAUCACCAUAGGUUAGCUUUGUACAUUCUUGAGCCUCUUAUUAUUAUUUUAGAAAUGGGGCCUCACUAUUUGCCCAGGCUGGUCUUGAACUCCUGAGCUCAAGUGUGAUCCUCCCAUCCCAGCAUCCCAAAGUGCUGAGAUUACAGGUGUGAGCCACCACGCCCAGCUGUUGAGCCUCAUAAAUGGCUGAACAAUGUUGAACAAAGGAAGCUGGCCCCUUACAUUUAAACUCAUUUGUGCCAUAUAAAAACCCCUUGAGACAGGCACUAUAAUUAUCUUCAUUUUACAGGUGUAGAAUCAGAGGCCCAGAGAGCUUCAGUAACUUGUUCAAGGUCACACAGCUAGGGUGUAGGAGGCAGAGCCAGGAUUUGACUGGGUAAGUCUGGCUGCACUCACUAUACUUACUGCUUUUAAAUACACAGCAAGUGCCCAGUAACUAUAAUCACGGCGACUUCUAACAAGCAGGGGCUCUCACUCUGGGCCAGGCACCAUGCCAGCUCUCUCCACAUUACUUCAUCUAACUCGCACACCAGUCCUAUUUAGUAUUUUUAAAAUAUAUCUAUAUAAAAUAAUACACAUAAUAUAUAUUACACAUAUAUACAUACUAAAUUUUCUAUACCUCAUAAUAUUACCAGUGAGAAACACUAAUACAAGCCCCAUUUAACAGAGGAGUAAACUGAGGCUCAGAGCAUUGAAUAAUGGAUGCAAGGUCAUAGACUCAGCAAGAGGCAGAGCUGGGAUGGCUUGCAGAACUCGUGCUUAUAACUACUGACAUCAGCUGCCUCCUGCCAGCUGCUGCUAAGAGCAGCACCAGGACCACAGAACUCAACAACCUGUGCUUUAAUUAAAAUCACAAUGAGAUGCCACCACACACCUGAUUUUUUCCAGUCACUUCUAAUCGCUUUCACGUGGGCUGUUCUAAUCGUCUAGACAGGAGGUUUUUAAAUUCCAGUACACACACAUUGUACUGGAAUGGCUCAAAUAAAAAAAAACAAAAACAAAAAACAAAAACUAAUCCCAAGUGCUGGAGAGGAUGUGGAGCAACUGGAACUCCCAUCCAUCCAUGGUAGGAAUGUGAAAAGGUAUACUGCCACUUUGGAAAACAGUUUGACCAUUUCUUAAAAAGUUAAAUGUCCACUCCUAGGUAUUUGCCCAAGAGAAAUGAAAACCCAUGCUCAGGCAAAAAUCUGCAUGCAAAUAUUUAUAGCAACUUUAUUUGUAAUUGCCAAAAAUGAAAGCAAACAAAUGGUGAAUGAACAAACUGUGGUGCCUCCAUACAACGGAGUACUACUCAGCCAUGAAAAGGAAUCAGCUACUGAUGACACAACAGCACUGAUAAACCUCAAAGGCAUCAUGCAUUAUGCCGAGUGAAAGAAGCCAGACUCAAAGGCUAUUAUGAUUCCAUUUAUAUGACACUCUGGUAAUGGCAGAAAAGAAAGACAACACAAAACAGAUAGUGGUUGUCAGGGGCGAGAGAUGAAAGAGGGAUUGACCACAGAGGGGCAAAGAGGAAUUGAGGGUGAUGGAACAUUUGUUCAUCUUGAUUGCAGUAGAGGUUAUAUGGUUGUACACAUUUGUCAAAACUUGCCAAACUGUACACUAAAAUGGGUGCAUUUUACUGUAGGUAAACGAUACUCAAUACAAAACAUUAAAGAAAAUAUAACAAUAGGCCGGGCGUGGUGGCUCGCGCCUGUAAUCCCAGCACUUUGGGAGG
Molecule: long non-coding RNA, 6884 nt
Filed under: Homo sapiens (human)
Lineage: Eukaryota; Metazoa; Chordata; Mammalia; Primates; Hominidae
Description: HSALNT0370371
Source: RNAcentral